RNAcentral lists this small RNA (120 nucleotides) under Marmota monax (woodchuck). Lineage: Eukaryota; Metazoa; Chordata; Mammalia; Rodentia; Sciuridae. The record is from RNAcentral.
GUCAGGUGUGGUGGCUCACACAUGUAGUCCCAGCCACUUUGGAGGCUGAAGCAGGAGGAUCACUGAGGCAGGAAAAAGGCUGAGACCAGUCUGGGCAACAUAGUGAGACCCCUGUCUCUU